This 374-nucleotide ribosomal RNA is filed under the name uncultured organism. Its description in RNAcentral is "partial 16S ribosomal RNA". It matches the Rfam family "Bacterial small subunit ribosomal RNA", at positions 527 to 896 of the family's 1533-position model. The record is from RNAcentral.
GUAGGUGGCAAGCGUUGUCCGGAAUUAUUGGGCGUAAAGCGCGCGCAGGCGGUUCUUUAAGUCUGAUGUGAAAGCCCACGGCUCAACCGUGGAGGGUCGUUGGAAACUGGAGAACUUGAGUACAGAAGAGGAAAGCGGAAUUCCACGUGUAGCGGUGAAAUGCGUAGAGAUGUGGAGGAACACCAGUGGCGAAGGCGGCUUUCUGGUCUGUAACUGACGCUGAGGCGCGAAAGCGUGGGGAGCAAACAGGAUUAGAUACCCUGGUAGUCCACGCCGUAAACGAUGAGUGCUAAGUGUUAGGGGGGUUUUCCGCCCCCCUUAGUGCUGCAGCUAACGCAUUAAGCACUCCGCCUGGGAGUACGGCCGCAAGGCUG